CAUCUCCACUUUUUUCUCCAACCCCACCACUUCCACCUUCUUCUCCACCAUCUCCACCUUCUUCCCCACCAUCCCCAUCUUCUUUAAAGCUUUUGAAAGAGAGAGAGAGAGAGGGAAAGAGAGAGAGAAGAAGGAGAAGAAGGAAGAAAGCUCACCUGAGUUCGUCGCCGGAGCAACCGUGCGCCGUGACCACGUUCAGCUUGCCACCACCGAUAAACACCCUAGACUACCAUCGUGUUCCUCUCGUCGAGACGAAUUCGUAGCCACCAAAAAUGCCUCAAUCGGAGUCCGGACGAAGCCGCACGCGCCUCCGGAAAUUUCGCCUCUGCGCGCGCGUGAGGUACACGCGCCGCCGCCGGAAAACGUCGCCACCGCCGGACCACCGUCCCCCGCCGCCGGAAUAUCCGCUGUUGCCGCCGUUGACCGUCGCCGGUAACUCGCCGGUGACUCGGUCAACUCGUCCGAGUCAACUCAAUUUGGAGUCCAUUUGAGCAGCUGGAGGUCAUAUAUACCACUUCUCUUCAUUGCUAAGGUGAGACCGACGAGCAGGAGUGAUUAUCGGACCGGUGCUAUUGGGCUUUUGGGUUUCUAUCGUUUUUACCGCUUUUAUCUUUAUCGGGCCUUUAGGCCUUUGGACUUUUAUCGUUUAUGUUAUUCCUAUUUCAGACUUUCGGUUUAUGUCGUAUUUUAUAUUUCGGAUGUUAUCGAUGUUGGGUUUUUUAGGCCUUUUGGUAUCGUAUUGACUUUUAUAUUAUGAUAUGAAGAUUAUUAUUAUUUGAGUUGUAUUAUUAUUUUAUUUCCACUUUUAUCAAUUUAUUAUAUUUCAAAAGUGGUGGGUGCCACAUUUUGGUAUCAGAGCUAUUUACUUAUCGUAACAUUUUAUUAUGUAAAUCGGGGUGUCACAAUUUGGCAUCAGAGCGGGUUCCGUCCCGGCUCCGACCCGGGACGGCGAUUUUGGAGACUCGGUUUUAUUCGGUUUUGACGGUUUUAGACAAUUUCAAAAUAUUUUCGGGGAUUUGGGAAUUUUGAAAAUGAAAAUAAAUCGCAUCUUUCCGUUCGGUAUCACUCCUUUCUAAUCCAAUUGUCUUUUUAUUGACUAUGAGUUACUCAUCGUCAUCCGCUCUCUAGCUAACAGGAUUUCGGCCAUAUGUUCGACAUAUGGAUGAUGAUGUCACAAUUGAACGGAUUGCUCAGGUGUGUAUCAGUUUCGUCAGCUUAUGCCAUGAAUUCGGGGACGAAUUCCUUAUAAGUGGGGGAGAAUUGUAAUGACCCACCACUCCCACCAUCUCCACUUUUUUCUCCAACCCCACCACUUCCACCUUCUUCUCCACCAUCUCCACCUUCUUCCCCACCAUCCCCAUCUUCUUUAAAGCUUGAGAAAGAGAGAGAGAGAGAGGGAAAGAGAGAGAGAAGAAGGAGAAGAAGGAAGAAAGCUCACCUGAGCUCGUCGCCGGAGCAACCGUGCGCCGUGACCACGUUCAGCUUGCCACCACCGAUAAACACCCUAGACUACCAUCGUGUUUCUCUCGUCGAGACGAAUCCGUAGCCACCAAAAAUGCCUCAAUCGGAGUCCGGACGAAGCCGCACGCGCCUCCGGAAGUUUCGCCUCUGCGCGCGCGUGAGGUACACGCGCCGCCGCCGGAAAACGUCGCCACCGCCGGACCACCGUCCCCCGCCGCCGGAAUAUCCGCCGUUGCCGCCGUUGACCGUCGCCGGUAACUCGCCGGUGACUCGGUCAACUCGUCCGAGUCAACUCAAUUUGGAGUCCAUUUGAGCAGCUGGAGGUCAUAUAUACCACUUCUCUUCAUUGCUAAGGUGAGACCGACGAGCAGGAGUGAUUAUCGGACCGGUGCUAUUGGGCUUUUGGGUUUCUAUCGUUUUUACCGCUUUUAUCUUUAUCGGGCCUUUAGGCCUUUGGACUUUUAUCGUUUAUGUUAUUCCUAUUUCAGACUUUCGGUUUAUGUCGUAUUUUAUAUUUCGGAUGUUAUCGAUGUUGGGUUUUUUAGGCCUUUUGGUAUCGUAUUGACUUUUAUAUUAUGAUAUGAAGAUUAUUAUUAUUUGAGUUGUAUUAUUAUUUUAUUUCCACU
Brassica napus (rape) is the source of this 2087-nucleotide long non-coding RNA. RefSeq lists it as uncharacterized. The transcript is spliced from 7 exons. The record is from RefSeq and is a predicted model, not a curated record. NCBI's taxonomy places the organism in Eukaryota, Viridiplantae, Streptophyta, Magnoliopsida, Brassicales, Brassicaceae.